This 253-nucleotide ribosomal RNA is filed under the name uncultured bacterium. RNAcentral describes it as "partial 16S ribosomal RNA". It matches the Rfam family "Bacterial small subunit ribosomal RNA", at positions 524 to 776 of the family's 1533-position model. The record is from RNAcentral.
UACGGGGGGGGCAAGCGUUGUUCGGAAUUACUGGGCGUAAAGGGCUCGUAGGCGGCCAACUAAGUCCGACGUGAAAUCCCCAGGCUUAACCUGGGAACUGCGUCGGAUACUGGAUGGCUUGAAUUCGGGAGAGGGAUGCAGAAUUCCAGGCGUAGCGGUGAAAUGCGUAGAGAUGUGGAGGAACACCGAUGGCGAAGGCAGCCUUCUGGGCCAACACUGACGCUCAUGCACGAAAGCGUGGGGAGCAAACAGG